ACUUAAAUUGAAGAGUUUGAUCAUGGCUCAGAUUGAACGCUGGCGGCAGGCCUAACACAUGCAAGUCGAGCGGUAACACAGAGAGCUUGCUCUCGGGUGACGAGCGGCGGACGGGUGAGUAAUGUCUGGGAAGCUGCCUGAUGGAGGGGGAUAACUACUGGAAACGGUAGCUAAUACCGCAUAACGUCGCAAGACCAAAGUGGGGGACCUUCGGGCCUCAUGCCAUCAGAUGUGCCCAGAUGGGAUUAGCUAGUAGGUGGGGUAAUGGCUCACCUAGGCGACGAUCCCUAGCUGGUCUGAGAGGAUGACCAGCCACACUGGAACUGAGACACGGUCCAGACUCCUACGGGAGGCAGCAGUGGGGAAUAUUGCACAAUGGGCGCAAGCCUGAUGCAGCCAUGCCGCGUGUAUGAAGAAGGCCUUCGGGUUGUAAAGUACUUUCAGCGAGGAGGAAGGCAUUAAGGUUAAUAACCUUGGUGAUUGACGUUACUCGCAGAAGAAGCACCGGCUAACUCCGUGCCAGCAGCCGCGGUAAUACGGAGGGUGCAAGCGUUAAUCGGAAUUACUGGGCGUAAAGCGCACGCAGGCGGUCUGUCAAGUCGGAUGUGAAAUCCCCGGGCUCAACCUGGGAACUGCAUUCGAAACUGGCAGGCUAGAGUCUUGUAGAGGGGGGUAGAAUUCCAGGUGUAGCGGUGAAAUGCGUAGAGAUCUGGAGGAAUACCGGUGGCGAAGGCGGCCCCCUGGACAAAGACUGACGCUCAGGUGCGAAAGCGUGGGGAGCAAACAGGAUUAGAUACCCUGGUAGUCCACGCCGUAAACGAUGUCGACUUGGAGGUUGUGCCCUUGAGGCGUGGCUUCCGGAGCUAACGCGUUAAGUCGACCGCCUGGGGAGUACGGCCGCAAGGUUAAAACUCAAAUGAAUUGACGGGGGCCCGCACAAGCGGUGGAGCAUGUGGUUUAAUUCGAUGCAACGCGAAGAACCUUACCUACUCUUGACAUCCAGAGAACUUAGCAGAGAUGCUUUGGUGCCUUCGGGAACUCUGAGACAGGUGCUGCAUGGCUGUCGUCAGCUCGUGUUGUGAAAUGUUGGGUUAAGUCCCGCAACGAGCGCAACCCUUAUCCUUUGUUGCCAGCGGUCCGGCCGGGAACUCAAAGGAGACUGCCAGUGAUAAACUGGAGGAAGGUGGGGAUGACGUCAAGUCAUCAUGGCCCUUACGAGUAGGGCUACACACGUGCUACAAUGGCAUAUACAAAGAGAAGCGACCUCGCGAGAGCAAGCGGACCUCAUAAAGUAUGUCGUAGUCCGGAUUGGAGUCUGCAACUCGACUCCAUGAAGUCGGAAUCGCUAGUAAUCGUAGAUCAGAAUGCUACGGUGAAUACGUUCCCGGGCCUUGUACACACCGCCCGUCACACCAUGGGAGUGGGUUGCAAAAGAAGUAGGUAGCUUAACCUUCGGGAGGGCGCUUACCACUUUGUGAUUCAUGACUGGGGUGAAGUCGUAACAAGGUAACCGUAGGGGAACCUGCGGUUGGAUCACCUCCUUACCUUAAAGAA
RNAcentral lists this ribosomal RNA (1554 nucleotides) under Klebsiella aerogenes. RNAcentral describes it as "bacterial SSU rRNA". It matches the Rfam family "Bacterial small subunit ribosomal RNA". Lineage: Bacteria; Pseudomonadati; Pseudomonadota; Gammaproteobacteria; Enterobacterales; Enterobacteriaceae. The record is from RNAcentral.